Molecule: ribosomal RNA, 253 nt
Filed under: uncultured bacterium
Lineage: Bacteria
Description: partial 16S ribosomal RNA
Rfam family: Bacterial small subunit ribosomal RNA
Source: RNAcentral
UACGGGGGGUGCAAGCGUUGCUCGGAAUUAUUGGGCGUAAAGCGUACGCAGGCGGCUCUGCAAGUCGAGUGUGAAAACCCGGGGCUCAACCCCGGAAUUGCAUUCGAAACUGCCGGGCUUGAGUGCGGGAGAGGGAAGCGGAAUUCCUGGUGUAGAGGUGAAAUUCGUAGAUAUCAGGAGGAACACCGGUGGCGAAAGCGGCUUCCUGGCCCGAUACUGACGCUCAUGUACGAAAGCGUGGGGAGCAAACAGG